UACAGAGGUCCCAAGCGUUGUUCGGAUUCACUGGGCGUAAAGGGUGCGUAGGCGGUCGGGUAAGUCUGAUGUGAAAUCUCCGGGCUCAACCCGGAAAUGGCAUUGGAUACUAUUCGGCUCGAGGUCUGGAGGGGGGACUGGAAUACUUGGUGUAGCAGUGAAAUGCGCAGAUAUCAGGAGGAACACCGGUGGCGAAGGCGGGUCUCUGGGCCGAUACUGACGCUGAGGAGCGAAAGCGUGGGGAGCAAACAGG
RNAcentral lists this ribosomal RNA (253 nucleotides) under uncultured bacterium. Its description in RNAcentral is "partial 16S ribosomal RNA". It matches the Rfam family "Bacterial small subunit ribosomal RNA", at positions 524 to 776 of the family's 1533-position model. The record is from RNAcentral.